RNAcentral lists this unclassified non-coding RNA (301 nucleotides) under plant metagenome. Its description in RNAcentral is "partial contains small subunit ribosomal RNA, internal transcribed spacer 1, and 5.8S ribosomal RNA". The record is from RNAcentral.
UUUCCGUAGGUGAACCUGCGGAAGGAUCAUUAUUGAAACUUGUAUCGUAGCAUUGAGAACUGUUGCUUACCUGUUAAAGGGUUUGUGCACGUUCGACGUGUUGCGUUCUAUUCAUCCACCUGUGCACCUUUGUAGACUUGAUUAACUUUCGCUCCCGAGCGGUUAGAAGGGUUGCUUUCGUGCUCCCUUUGUCUAUCAAGUCUAUGUCUAUAUAAUCUCUUGUAUGUCUAGAAUGUCCUAUUUAUGGUUCGCAAGUCCUUUAAAUCAUAUACAACUUUCAACAACGGAUCUCUUGGCUCUC